CACAGCUCACCUUCAAAACCAAAAAAUCCCCUCAACACUACAGAACCCUGAUACACCAUUAAGCAAUCCUAUUUUCCCAUAUGAACUAUUAUGCUAAAACUAGUAAUAAGGGCAUCAACCCCUCUUUAAUGCAAACAUACAUCAGCACGGAUAAACCACCGAUACUUAACACCCACUAAUCCCGCAGCUACAACAAAACACACAAGAAAAUUUACCUAAGCCAAACGUUAACCUAACACAAGCGCAUUACAAGAAAGAUUACAAGGAAAAGAAGGAACUCGGCAAAUUUCAGCCUCGCCUGUUUACCAAAAACAUCGCCUUCUGCCUAAACAUAGGAGGUCCUGCCUGCCCAGUGAUCCAAUUCAACGGCCGCGGUAUU
This 379-nucleotide ribosomal RNA is filed under the name Sooglossus thomasseti (Thomasset's Seychelles frog). Its description in RNAcentral is "partial 16S ribosomal RNA". Lineage: Eukaryota; Metazoa; Chordata; Amphibia; Anura; Sooglossidae. The record is from RNAcentral.